UACAUGUGGGGCAAGCGUUGUUCGGAAUUACUGGGCAUAAAGGGUGCGUAGGUGGUUUGUUAAGUCAGGGGUGAAAUCCCGCGGCCCAACCGUGGAACUGCCUUUGAUACUGGCGAACUUGAGUGCGUGAGGGGUAGGGGGAACGAGCAGUGUAGCGGUGAAAUGCGUAGAUAUCGUUUGGAACGCCAAUGGUGAAAACAGCUAGCUGGGGAUGUGCCGACGCUGAGACACGAAAGCCAGGGGAGCGAACGGG
Molecule: ribosomal RNA, 253 nt
Filed under: uncultured bacterium
Lineage: Bacteria
Description: partial 16S ribosomal RNA
Rfam family: Bacterial small subunit ribosomal RNA
Source: RNAcentral